This is a non-coding RNA of Pelobates cultripes (western spadefoot toad), 398 nucleotides long. The record is from the annotation of a GenBank genome assembly. NCBI's taxonomy places the organism in Eukaryota, Metazoa, Chordata, Amphibia, Anura, Pelobatidae.
GUUUCUUAAAGUUGCUGUUUAGUGACUAUAAUUAAUGCUGACAUGUAACAAUGGUCUAUUUCAUGCUUUCUCCUUUUUUAAAGAAAACAAGCCACAUGUUAAACAUUCCCCUCCCCAAACUAUGCAUCUUAUGUCUCUAUCUGCAACAAUUGCGCUGAUUUCUACUGUGCCCUAACUUAGGCGGCAAGGAACUUUAAGCAGCAAACUAUAACCAUUGCAGUGUAGCUUAUUGGAGUGGUUAUAGUAUACAUUCUGCAUUCAUUCCUGGUUUGCUUUUUGGCUCAAUGUCUGUCUUUGCAGAAAUAAUGCAUAUUCUGAAUUUAGCCCUAACUGGGGGGGGAUGCAUAGUCCUCACAGCUUGUUUUUGCAUACAGUUUACUGUCCCAACCUUCAAACCG